GGGGCUGUAGCUCAGCGGUUAGAGCAGGGGACUCAUAAUCCUUUGGUCGUGGGUUCAAUCCCCACCGGCCCUA
RNAcentral lists this transfer RNA (73 nucleotides) under bacterium. RNAcentral describes it as "tRNA-Ile". It matches the Rfam family "tRNA". From Rfam's summary of the family: Transfer RNA (tRNA) molecules are approximately 80 nucleotides in length. Their secondary structure includes four short double-helical elements and three loops (D, anti-codon, and T loops). RNAcentral also lists the same sequence under 3 other names. The record is from RNAcentral.